Molecule: ribosomal RNA, 807 nt
Filed under: uncultured bacterium
Lineage: Bacteria
Description: bacterial SSU rRNA
Rfam family: Bacterial small subunit ribosomal RNA
Source: RNAcentral
AGAGUUUGAUCAUGGCUCAGAUUGAACGCUGGCGGCAUGCCUAACACAUGCAAGUCGAACGGCAGCACGGUACUAGGUAAAACUAGUAUGGGUGGCGAGUGGCGGACGGGUGAGUAAAGCGUAGGAAUCUAGAAUAGAGAGGGGGAUAACACGUGGAAACGCGUGCUAAUACCGCAUGAAGCUGAAGAGUCAAAAGCAGGGGACCUGAGAGGGCCUUGUGCUCUAUAGUGAGCUUACGUCAGAUUAGCUAGUUGGUGGGGUAAGAGCCUACCAAGGCGAUGAUCUGUAGCUGGUCUGAGAGGACGAUCAGCCACACUGGGACUGAGACACGGCCCAGACUCCUACGGGAGGCAGCAGUGGGGGAUAUUGGACAAUGGGGGGAACCCUGAUCCAGCGAUGCCGCGUGUGUGAAGAAGGCCUUAGGGUUGUAAAGCACUUUAGACGAGGAAGAAGUAGUGAAGGCGAAUAGGGUUUUACUAUUGACGGUACUCGUAGAAUAAGCACCGGCUAACUCUGUGCCAGCAGCCGCGGUAAUACAGAGGGUGCGAGCGUUAAUCGGAAUGACUGGGCGUAAAGGGCGUGUAGGUGGUGAUAUAGGUUUGAUGUGAAAUCCCUGGGCUUAACCUGGGAACGGCGUCAAAGACGAUAUGACUAGAGUGAGACAGAGGGUUGUGGAAUUUCCGGUGUAGCAGUGAAAUGCGUAGAGAUCGGAAGGAACAUCAGAGGCGAAGGCGACGACCUGGGUCUUAACUGACACUGAGGCGCGAAGGCGUGGGGAGCAAACAGGAUUAGAUACCCUAGUAGUCC